Molecule: ribosomal RNA, 494 nt
Filed under: uncultured bacterium
Lineage: Bacteria
Description: partial 16S ribosomal RNA
Rfam family: Bacterial small subunit ribosomal RNA
Source: RNAcentral
GACGAACGCUGGCGGCGCGCUUAACACAUGCAAGUCGAACGGAAAGGCCUGCUUUCCCUUGUGGAUUGCGGGUACUCGAGUGGCGAACGGGUGAGUAACACGUGCGUGAUCUGCCCCCAACUUGGGUAUAAGCCUGGGUAACUGGGUCUAAUUCCCGAUAGGACUGCAGGGUGGUGCCUGUGGUGGAAAACGAUUUUCUAGUGGUUGGGGAUGAGCUCGCGGCCUAUCAGCUUGUUGGUGGGGUAAUGGCCUACCAAGGCGGCGACGGGUAGCCGGCCUGGGAGGGUGGACGGCAACAUUGGGACGGAGAUACGGCCAAGACUCCUACGGGAGGCAGCAGUGGGGAAUAUUGCACAAUGGGCGGAAGCCUGAUGCAGCGACGCCGCGUGGGGGAUGACGGCCUUCGGGUUGUAAACUCCUUUCGGCCGCGAGGAAGCCACCUGGUUGGAAGGGUGGUGACGGUAGUGGUAGAAGAAGCACCGGCUAACUACGUG